GAGGUGGAGGUAGAUGUGGAGGAAGAACAAGGAGAGUAAUCUCUGAUGAAAUUUGGGCGACUGUGGUGGACCAUGUGGUCAACCAUGGUUUGACCUUGAGAGAGGCUGGGCAGAGAGUCCUUCAUCGUAGCAUCCAUCAUCCGGAAGUUCCACAAUGAGAAGAGAACUGAAAGACGACCACCACGUGAUGGAAGAACGUGUUUAUUUACAGACAAACAGCAGGCUGCCAUUGUGCAAAUGGUAGUUGAAAAUAAUGCCAUAACAACAGAUUAUUGAAAACCCUGCCAUCUUCCAUAACAUCAGAGUGAGUUUAUCACCCAUAGCUCGCAUCCUUAAGAAACACCAUCUCCGGAUGAAGCAAAUCUACAGAGUCCCAUUUGAAAGAAAUUCCCAAAGAGCGAAGGAUAAACGGUACAAAUAUGUGCAAAGAAUCAUGGAGUUGGAUGCAAGUCCCAUCCCCCAGGAACUCACAUUCAUAGAUGAGGCUGGAUUCAAUUUAGCGAAGAUGAGGAGGAAUAGAGAGGAAGGAACAUCAUUGGUCAACGCGCCAUCGUGCCGGGAAAUGUCACCACAUGCGCAGAUAUGAGCCACAAUGGGGUCCUCCACCGCCAUGCCACUCUUGGACGAUACAACACUGCCCAUCUCCUUCAUUUCCUGAACACCUUACAUGACAAUCUUUUUCAGCCAGAGCAGAGAGGACCAGGUGAUCCUGAGCAGCAAAUGUAUGUUCUAAUUUGGGACAAUGUGAGUUUCCAUCAGGCUGCUCAGGUCCGCAACUGGUUCCGUGACCAUCCCAGG
This is a long non-coding RNA of Salvelinus sp. IW2-2015, 798 nucleotides long. RefSeq lists it as uncharacterized. The record is from RefSeq and is a predicted model, not a curated record. NCBI's taxonomy places the organism in Eukaryota, Metazoa, Chordata, Actinopteri, Salmoniformes, Salmonidae.